Molecule: small RNA, 177 nt
Submitted as: uncultured archaeon A07HR60
Lineage: Archaea
Rfam family: Sense overlapping transcript RNA 0042 (sot)
About the family: It is associated with IS1341-type transposase (tnpB) genes, at the 3'-end in H. salinarum NRC-1. The tetraloop structural motif may be functional.
Source: Rfam
CGGUAACUCCGAGUCCUGAAGAGGAUAGGAGUAACGGCUGUUUGGCCCAGCCAUCGGUACAGUUGUUCGACAAAUCAACGGGGAGAGUGGCCCCACAAGAACAGGUGGUUCCGUGAACCACAAUAUCCCAAUCCAGCGGUGCGGUGCCGUGGGAAUCCCACGGCUUUAGCCGUGGGA